Molecule: transfer RNA, 94 nt
Filed under: Candidatus Omnitrophota bacterium
Lineage: Bacteria; Pseudomonadati; Candidatus Omnitrophota
Description: Candidatus Omnitrophica bacterium tRNA-Ser
Rfam family: tRNA
About the family: Transfer RNA (tRNA) molecules are approximately 80 nucleotides in length. Their secondary structure includes four short double-helical elements and three loops (D, anti-codon, and T loops).
Source: RNAcentral
GGAGAGGUGGCUGAGCUGGCUGAAGGCAACGGUUUGCUAAACCGUCGUAGCGUAUAAAGCGCUACCGAGGGUUCGAAUCCCUCCCUCUCCGCCA